UUAUUUUACCUUGUUGCUUCGGCGGGCCCGCCUUAACUGGCCGCCGGGGGGCUUACGCCCCCGGGCCCGCGCCCGCCGAAGACACCCUCGAACUCUGUCUGAAGAUUGUAGUCUGAGUGAAAAUAUAAAUUAUUUAAAACUUUCAACAACGGAUCUCUUGGUUCCGGCAUCGAUGAAGAACGCAGCGAAAUGCGAUACGUAAUGUGAAUUGCAAAUUCAGUGAAUCAUCGAGUCUUUGAACGCACAUUGCGCCCCCUGGUAUUCCGGGGGGCAUGCCUGUCCGAGCGUCAUUGCUGCCCUCAAGCACGGCUUGUGUGUUGGGCCCCGUCCUCCGAUCCCGGGGGACGGGCCCGAAAGGCAGCGGCGGCACCGCGUCCGGUCCUCGAGCGUAUGGGGCUUUGUCACCCGCUCUGUAGGCCCGGCCGGCGCUUGCCGAUCAACCCAAAUUUUUAUCCAGGUUGACCUCGGAUCAGGUAGGGAUACCCGCUGAACUUAAGCAUAU
Molecule: ribosomal RNA, 502 nt
Filed under: Penicillium chrysogenum
Lineage: Eukaryota; Fungi; Ascomycota; Eurotiomycetes; Eurotiales; Aspergillaceae
Description: eukaryotic LSU rRNA
Rfam family: 5.8S ribosomal RNA (bases 138-290)
Source: RNAcentral